Molecule: long non-coding RNA, 952 nt
Filed under: Homo sapiens (human)
Lineage: Eukaryota; Metazoa; Chordata; Mammalia; Primates; Hominidae
Description: HSALNT0332941
Source: RNAcentral
ACUAAAAUUUCUGUGACAGACUGGGGCAAAAGCGCCUUAUCUAUUGGGGGUUCUAACAAGUAGAAAUGACCAGAAAGGACUCUUUCCAGAAUUAGUAAAUAUUGGAAGCUAGAGGAGGUAGGAAGUGGCUUCAUGGCAACACUGCAGCUGUGCUUUUCAUGAUCAUUAAUGGAUCUGAUGGAAUAAGACAGUGGAAAAUGCCUUCUGCAACAGAGUGCACUCAGAAAGCCUGCUAGAUGCAUUACAGAGACACAUCAGGCAUUCUGCAAGCUGAAGAUUCUCCACUUUGAUCUCCCAGCAAGCUGACUGUGGCACAGUGUCCCCACAGAGUUGAAUGCACUGCACAGGAGGGUCUUUUAACUAAAGUGCACACAGGGAAAAUUUCAUGAGGUUCUUAUGAAGUGGUUUGUUUUAGCUCUGAAUGGAGGAAAAGAAGUAGAGAGGAAAAGGGAAAAUGGUCUUAUGACAUAAAGAUCCAGUUGGACCUGGUGUGAUUUUUAUCAUCUUAAAGCCUGUUUGAGAAGACUAACCUCAAAGUAUGAGACUGUCUCAAUACAGCACAUAAAAAAUGGAAGGCAAAAAGUAGCUGGUCUGUAAACAACCCACAAAGCAAAUUGCCAGUUGAUAUUUUCUGAACUAGAAUUCUUUGAGUUACAAUGGGAACAGCUUCUCGGUAUAUACAGAGCAUGAGUCUUCUCUUUGGUUCCAACGGAGCUUUGUUAUGACUUGUAAUGAGCUGAACAUUGUAAUGCAUGUUCUAAAAAAAAAAAAUUGACUGUGACUGUGUGUGCAAAAAUACAAUGCACAUGCACCAGGAUGUUAACAAAACAGCACCUGCACAAACUAAGAUUGCAACUCUAUUCUCAGCUUAUCUUUGCUUUUCACUCACUGGGAUCAUUUCUCUUUCAAUGGGAAGGAAAGCCGCACAUGCAAGCAGAAUUCCUACAUUAAA